RNAcentral lists this ribosomal RNA (253 nucleotides) under uncultured bacterium. RNAcentral's name for it is "partial 16S ribosomal RNA". It matches the Rfam family "Bacterial small subunit ribosomal RNA", at positions 524 to 776 of the family's 1533-position model. The record is from RNAcentral.
UACGUAGGUGGCAAGCGUUGUCCGGAUUUACUGGGCGUAAGGGGUGCGUAGGCGGACAUUUAAGUCAGAUGUGAAAUACCCGAGCUUAACUUGGGGGCUGCAUUUGAAACUGGGUGUCUAGAGUGCAGGAGAGGGUAGUGGAAUUCCCGGUGUAGUGGUGAAAUGCGUAGAUAUCGGGAGGAACACCAGUGGCGAAGGCGACUACCUGGCCUGUUCUUGACGCUGAGGCGCGAAAGCUAGGGGAGCAAACGGG